CAAUAGCGUAUAUUAAAGUUGUUGCAGUUAAAAAGCUCGUAGUUGGAUUUCGGAUGGGAUUUGCCGGUCCGUCGUUACGAUGUGCACUGGCCAGUCCUAUCUUGUUGUCGGGGACUAGCUCCUUGGAUUCACUUCCUGGGACUAGGAGCUGACGAGGUUACUUUGAGUAAAUUAGAGUGUUCAAAGCAAGCCUACGCUCUGAAUACAUUAGCAUGGAAUAACACGAUAGGACUCUGGCUUAUCUUGUUGGUCUGUGAGACCAGAGUAAUGAUUAAGAGGCACAGUCGGGGACAUUCGUAUUUCAUUGUCAGAGGUGAAAUUCUUGGAUUUAUGAAAGACGAACUUCUGCGAAAGCAUUUGUCAAGGAUGUUUUCAUUGA
This 379-nucleotide ribosomal RNA is filed under the name uncultured eukaryote. RNAcentral's name for it is "partial 18S ribosomal RNA". It matches the Rfam family "Eukaryotic small subunit ribosomal RNA", at positions 592 to 976 of the family's 1831-position model. The record is from RNAcentral.